RNAcentral lists this ribosomal RNA (443 nucleotides) under Streptococcus mitis. RNAcentral's name for it is "bacterial SSU rRNA". It matches the Rfam family "Bacterial small subunit ribosomal RNA", at positions 28 to 461 of the family's 1533-position model. The record is from RNAcentral. Lineage: Bacteria; Bacillati; Bacillota; Bacilli; Lactobacillales; Streptococcaceae.
GACGAACGCUGGCGGCGUGCCUAAUACAUGCAAGUAGAACGCUGAAGGAAGGAGCUUGCUCUUUCCGGAUGAGUUGCGAACGGGUGAGUAACGCGUAGGUAACCUGCCUGGUAGCGGGGGAUAACUAUUGGAAACGAUAGCUAAUACCGCAUAAGAGUAGAUGUCGCAUGACAUUUGCUUAAAAGGUGCAAUUGCAUCACUACCAGAUGGACCUGCGUUGUAUUAGCUAGUUGGUGGGGUAACGGCUCACCAAGGCGACGAUACAUAGCCGACCUGAGAGGGUGAUCGGCCACACUGGGACUGAGACACGGCCCGGACUCCUACGGGAGGCAGCAGUAGGGAAUCUUCGGCAAUGGACGGAAGUCUGACCGAGCAACGCCGCGUGAGUGAAGAAGGUUUUCGGAUCGUAAAGCUCUGUUGUAAGAGAAGAACGAGUGUGAGAG